UACGUAGGCAGCGAGCGUUGUUCGGAGUUACUGGGCGUAAAGGGUGUGUAGGCGGUUUUCUAAGUUUGGUGUGAAAUCUCCCGGCUUAACCGGGAGGGUGCGCCGAAAACUGGGAGACUAGAGUGCGGGAUGGGAGAGUAGAAUUCCUGGUGUAGCGGUGAAAUGCGUAGAUAUCAGGAGGAAUACCGGUGGUGAAGACGGCUCUCUGGACCGCAACUGACGCUGAGACACGAAAGCGUGGGUAGCAAACAGG
RNAcentral lists this ribosomal RNA (253 nucleotides) under uncultured bacterium. RNAcentral describes it as "partial 16S ribosomal RNA". It matches the Rfam family "Bacterial small subunit ribosomal RNA", at positions 524 to 776 of the family's 1533-position model. The record is from RNAcentral.